AUUGAACGCUGGCGGAAUGCUUUACACAUGCAAGUCGAACGGCAGCACGGGGGCAGCCCUGGUGGCGAGUGGCGAACGGGUGAGUAAUACAUCGGAACGUGCCCGGUCGUGGGGGAUAACGUAGCGAAAGUUACGCUAAUACCGCAUACGAUCUGAGGAUGAAAGCGGGGGACCUUCGGGCCUCGCGCGAUCGGAGCGGCCGAUGUCAGAUUAGGUAGUUGGUGGGGUAAAGGCCUACCAAGCCGACGAUCUGUAGCUGGUCUGAGAGGACGACCAGCCACACCGGGACUGAGACACGGCCCAGACUCCUACGGGAGGCAGCAGUGGGGAAUUUUGGACAAAGGGCGCAAGCCUGAUCCAGCCAUUCCGCGUGCAGGACGAAGGCCUUCGGGUUGUAAACUGCUUUUGUACGGAACGAAAAGGCUCUGGCUAAUACCUGGGGCUCAUGACGGUACCGUAAGAAUAAGCACCGGCUAACUACGUG
Molecule: ribosomal RNA, 484 nt
Filed under: uncultured bacterium
Lineage: Bacteria
Description: partial 16S ribosomal RNA
Rfam family: Bacterial small subunit ribosomal RNA
Source: RNAcentral